Molecule: unclassified non-coding RNA, 317 nt
Filed under: uncultured fungus
Lineage: Eukaryota; Fungi
Description: sequence contains ITS2
Rfam family: 5.8S ribosomal RNA (bases 1-52)
Source: RNAcentral
AACGCAUCUUGCGCUCCUUGGUAUUCCAAGGAGCAUGCCUGUUUGAGUAUCAUUAAAUUAUCAACUGUGCCACUUUGGUUACAGAUUGGAUGUGGGAGAUUUCUUGCAGGCUUUCGACUUCUCUUUGAAUGCCAGCUCUCCUGAAAUGUAUUAGCAGUGCCUUUGUUGGUUCAUUAGGUGUGAUAAUUUAUCUACAUCUUCACAUGGUGCCUUCAUUUGUAAAAGGUCAUAUUGCUUCUAAUUGUCUUUGGACAAAAAACACGUUAAUGUGUGACAAACUUGAUCUCAAAUCAGGCAGGACUACCCGCUGAACUUAA